CGACAUAGCUCAAUGGUAGAGUGGGUGGCUGUUAACCACUAGGUUGCAGGUUCGAGCCCUGCUGUCGG
RNAcentral lists this transfer RNA (68 nucleotides) under bovine gut metagenome. It matches the Rfam family "tRNA". From Rfam's summary of the family: Transfer RNA (tRNA) molecules are approximately 80 nucleotides in length. Their secondary structure includes four short double-helical elements and three loops (D, anti-codon, and T loops). The record is from RNAcentral.